UACGUAGGUGGCAAGUGUUGUCCGGAUUUAUUGGGUUUAAAGGGUGCGUAGGCGGUCCUAUAAGUCAGUGCUGAAAUAUCCCGGCUUAACCGGGAGGGUGGCAUUGAUACUGCAGGACUUGAGUAAAGUUGAGGUAGGCGGAAUUGACGGUGUAGCGGUGAAAUGCUUAGAUAUCGUCAAGAACACCGAUAGUGAAGACAGCUUACUAAACUUUAACUGACGCUGAGGCACGAAAGUGUGGGGAUCAAACAGG
RNAcentral lists this ribosomal RNA (253 nucleotides) under uncultured bacterium. RNAcentral describes it as "partial 16S ribosomal RNA". It matches the Rfam family "Bacterial small subunit ribosomal RNA", at positions 524 to 776 of the family's 1533-position model. The record is from RNAcentral.